CGUAAAAUGCGGUCUAUGAAUACGACCCAUCUUAUAAAUAAACUGUGUGGCCAGUAUUUGUUUGUUAUAACGUUAUCAGCACUCCCCUGUGUGCGUGCACGCACACAUACACACAAAUAGAUAAGACCAACUAGUGCUCUGUUUCAGAUAAGACCUAGACUUAGGCCGACGUCUUAGGACCAGGCCGGCCAGCAAUGUGAAUUUUCAUCAAAGAAAAACAGUAUAAAACUCACUACGAUAUGCAUUGGUGUUGGAGUAACAAAGAAGACCAACUAAAUAACCUCUAAUCCAGUAAAAAAACAUCUAAAACUGUCAAUCUGUUAAUAUAAAAUACUCAGAACAACGUUGUGAAAUAACUACUUUAUCUUACCCGCGUAUUUAAGUUUUGAGAUUUACCUUUGACGUUUCGAGGGCGGCGCUGUCCCCGUGGUCUCGGAGAAGACACAAGUAAAAAAAGAUUAACGGAAUAAGUCCCGUUUAACAAUUUAAUAAUAUGUAACAAUCGUGAAAGUUUAUAACAGUGUACUUUGUCUUACAUUCGAGCCUUCAAAAAAGUAUGCAAAAUUUCUAAACAAAUCCAUUCCUAUCUAAUCUGCAACUUAUUAGAAAGCGCCAUCUAUCAGCACAAUUGCAACAUUAAUCUAUAUCGAAUCCAAUUAUAAGAAUACCGUGAAGCAUUAAGAUAAAUUUUAUCGAUAUCGAUAUACCAAUUAGCCCUCACUAUACUUACGGCGACGUUCAGGGUUACCACUUAUGGCGUACCUACGCUGUUUUCGUAAUUUAUAGGAAUAAUAAGAAAACAUAGAUUUUUAUUUAUAAAACAUACAUAAUUUUGUUAUUAAAUUGUUGUGUUAGAAAAAAAAGAAAUUUUGUAAUUCUUUUAGUGUAUUUUAAAUUGAUAAAUCAGUCUCUUCUCUUGCAUUAAGAAAUAAUUUAAACCAAAUAAAUUAAGUUAAAAUUAAAAUGCCCAAACACAUAUUUUCGAAUGUUUGUGAUGGUUGUAAUAUUAUAUUCGUUUCAUUAUCAUUGCUCUCUAUAAUUUUAGUUAUUAUACUGAUGUAGUCUUAAGAAAUAAAACUAUGAAAACGGAUUAUAUCGCGUAUAUUGAAUUUAUAAUACAUCCCGACGUUUCGAACUCUUUACAGCGUUCGUGGUCAACGGGUGACUGAGGAAAAAUUACAAAAUGCAAAAAUACCCACAUACUAAAAUAAUGAACAAUCAUAGACUACAAACUUUAAGGCUGGUUGUACAUGCAAAAUCGGUUCAUAAGGCUAGUUAUACACUAUAAUUA
Molecule: long non-coding RNA, 1291 nt
Organism: Cydia strobilella
Lineage: Eukaryota; Metazoa; Arthropoda; Insecta; Lepidoptera; Tortricidae
Exons: 3
Source: RefSeq, a predicted model, not a curated record